Molecule: long non-coding RNA, 442 nt
Organism: Drosophila yakuba
Lineage: Eukaryota; Metazoa; Arthropoda; Insecta; Diptera; Drosophilidae
Exons: 2
Source: RefSeq, a predicted model, not a curated record
UUGUGUGUGCCUCUAAAGCCGCAAAUUGCACCCACAAUUGAGCUGUACAAAACGAAUCAGCGAACUUCUUGUUUAUUUGUUUGCACCGCCAUCAACGCCAAGAGAGUCUGUCUUCUGCAGUCGACUACUGUAACCUAAAUUGAACAUCACAUGUUGGCAGGUGCUUAGAAUGCUCCCCAGUUAAUUACUCGAAUGUUUCCGCACUGAAUACCGUGGAGCAGGGAGAACGUCACUUUCGAUCCUGGAUGGAAUGCCUGGUUACAAUGACAUUCGACUUGGACUAUCAGAUGUUUGAAAUCAGCCAAAAUGCCGAAGAGGAAAUUGAAAACCUAUAGGUUGCUGUGUUAAUUUACCACUAGCAAUACUCAAUUGUCUCAUAAAAGUCUCUCUCUUAAAGCCCCAUUGAAGUGAAUUUUAAUAAAGGAAAAGUAGACUUAAUGAA